AAAAAAAGGGAAUCAAGUACUCAAAAGCAAAGAGUAGAAGAGACUGUUCAAAAAUAAAACAAAUUCGCAGCGUUAUCUCUACAUAAAACUCUUCUGUUGAUUAGCCAAAUCAAACCUAACAAACCUUCUCAAAUAUGGCAGAUUACAAUACUCUGUUGCAUCCUCGCGUUCGCGUCUCCCGUCAGUUUCACUCUUAAAACAUACAAACCAGCAAGCAACUUGCAGCAGGAUCCCCUUUCAUCAAACCGCAUAUGUAUGUACAUACAUACAUAUGUACAUAUGCAUAACAAUCAGUAUCGCUGGCUCUCGCGAUCCGAGUAUUUGCCACUCAGCUUGCUAACCGAAUAGCGAUCCGAGUAGGCAUCGUACUUGUCCGCCUUGUAGUUGAUCUCCUGCGGCGUGUAUCCGAUAUUCUUCUGCCAGUGCCGCGUCCAGUAGAGAUCCUCGUUGCGCACCUGCGAUGGCGUCUUCGCAUCCCGGAACACGUACACACAGUAGAUCAUGCAGCCGAUUAGCGUGAGGAAGCCGAAGACCAGGAACACAAUUCCCAGUAUCCACACGUACAGUGGCUCAUAGAACUGCACCACAAUGACGAAUCCUAGCGUCACCAGGAUCAGGCCCAAGUUGAGCAACAGCAUCAGACAGCACACGCCCUUGACAUUGGGGCAAAAUGGAUUCGGCGCGGACAUGGUUUCCACUUUGGCGCCUCGCCGAGUCGUCGAGCGCGCACUGCGUCCGGUUUUGGCCGUACUGGCCACGGAGUAAACACUCCGUGGAGCUCCUCGCGACACUGGACGCUGACUGUAGCGACUGUAAUGGAUGAUAGAUAGUUUAGAUAUGGGUUAUAUGCUAUAUAGUUGUAACAACGCACCUGAUCUCGGAGGGCGCCUUGUAGGCGGCACUGGUCACAUAGAUGUCGCUGCCGGCGUCACCAGCCUGGUCAUAGCUCAGGGCGGACGGAGCACGCGGUGGCUGGCGCGUGGGCGGCGGUCCGCUGAGGGAGCGAGGUCCUCCGUUGUCCGGCGAACUGGAGAGGCCCAUCUGACUGUGGCUGUAGCUGCUCUGCAGGUGCUGAUGCUGAUGGUUUCCAUUCGAGGAUGAGGAGCGCUUCUUGCGCGAACCAUUGUACUGCGGCGAGAUGCGCUCGUGGGUCAACGUGUACUCCGAAUAGGUGCGCUCCGAGGGCGCCCGGUGGGAGUGGGUCUCAUCGCCGUCGGUGGAAUAGCCGCGGUUCGAGUGGACGUAGGGCGGAUCCGGAGUGAGGCGACCGUGCGUGGCCACAUAAUGGCUGCCCUUCAACCUGUAAUUGGAUCGCAAAUGUUAUCGCCGCUGUAUUAGCCGUUAAGUGGCCCAUCCGCGCUACUCACUUCUUCACUUGUCUCUCGUGCAUCCUGUAUCUUUUGCUCCGCCUGUAUCUGUAUCUUUUGCUGGCUCUUCUCUGCGGCUGAUUGACUGCUAAUGGACCCGUCUAGCAAUUCCUCGAGGUGCCUGCAAUGGGUAAGUAAAGCAAAACAAACACACGAUGAGCUCGACUUCAUGGCAAUUAGGUUUUGGCUUCACUUUAUCGACUAGCUUAGAACUUUUAAUUAGAGCGAUGAAAGUUUUAUUCGACUGCAGACAGCAGCCAUAUUCAAUAAAAUAACUGGUUUGUUUGAAUUUCACAAGCGUAACGUAAAGUUUCAUGGCUCUGGGUUCUCUGCUCGUUGUAAAAGUUUAAUAGUUAAUAUUUAUUAAAAUUACACAUAAACUCGAGAGCAACAUCUGGAUCAUUAAAAAUUUUAAGCAACUCC
Drosophila melanogaster (fruit fly) is the source of this 1790-nucleotide non-coding RNA. Lineage: Eukaryota; Metazoa; Arthropoda; Insecta; Diptera; Drosophilidae. The record is from Ensembl.